AUGCGGAGGGUGCAAGCGUUACUCGGAAUCACUGGGCGUAAAGGGCGCGCAGGCGGUUUGAUUAGUCAGAUGUGAAAGCCCACGGCUUAACCGUGGAAGUGCAUUUGAAACUGUCAGACUUGAGUACCAGAGGGGGUAGUGGAAUUCCCGGUGUAGAGGUGAAAUUCGUAGAUAUCGGGAGGAAUACCGGUGGCGAAGGCGACUACCUGGCUGGAUACUGACGCUGAGGCGCGAAAGCGUGGGGAGCAAACAGGAUUAGAAACCCGAGUAGUCC
This 274-nucleotide ribosomal RNA is filed under the name uncultured bacterium. Its description in RNAcentral is "partial 16S ribosomal RNA". It matches the Rfam family "Bacterial small subunit ribosomal RNA", at positions 523 to 796 of the family's 1533-position model. The record is from RNAcentral.